AAAAAAACUCAUUGCCUUGUUUCUUGAUGGUCUGUGGAUUGAUUUAGCCCUGUGUCUGCUUAACAGGUUAAAGAAACCUCUCCAGACACAUGUGCACCUGUCACCAGUGGACCUUUGAGUGAGAGACUACAGUCCUCAAGGAAUCAUGUUCGAAACACAGUUCCCUGUUUCCCUGUGCAACUUGCCAUAACUCACAAAAAUAGGUACAUGAGACACAGCAGCAGCUGUCCUAGAAAUGUGACACUCAGCCAUAAAGGGAAUGAGGUGUAUCAUGAUUGAUCAUUCUUCACAUCGGCACUAUUGAAGUGAAAGAGCCAGUCACCCAUGUCAGGAACGGCUCCCAGAUGUGUGAGCAUCUCUCUCUCAGUCUGUUCAUCAGCUCUCUGAAGCUUUCCCAAAAUUCUCUUAUGCAACAAUAAAAAUCACAUCACGCUAACAAUGCAUUUAAGACUUAUCUGCGCUCAGGGGAACAGCUGGUUGCGAUGAUCUGCUGAAAUGUUUCCCACCAUGUUUCUCAAGUGCAGUCAUUAGGGUGGAACAAAAGAGAUGUGGCUUAUAUCAUGCAGUUUCCCCAGAGGUCAUGCCUUUGAGUAGCAGAAUCAUUUAAAAUGCUAUUCACGGAUUCACAGAAAACAGUUAGACGUGGAUUGUUCAGACAGCAUGGGCAGAAGGACUCAUGGAUGACCAUUAGGUUAUGGUGGUUUAAGG
This is a long non-coding RNA of Cyprinus carpio carpio, 708 nucleotides long. The record is from Ensembl. Lineage: Eukaryota; Metazoa; Chordata; Actinopteri; Cypriniformes; Cyprinidae.